CCGGGGCUUCCGUAGCUUCUGCCGUAUAUCCCACACAGUCGGUGUUUGCCUGCUGUGGAAGCAGAGUGCAUGAAGACAAUUCAGCAGAGGACAGUCACAUUAUUCCUUUCUUCUGCAGAAUAAAGCGUGAAGAAAACUCCACUGGACUACCUACUUCUGUGAUCCUGACAACACACACAUACACAUCGGUUACACAUACACAAAUCUGUCCUCUAAAUUGUAAAAAAAAAAAAAAAAAAAAAUCAUUAUUAUUGAUAAGCAAUCAUCCUUUUUUUACUUUUGAACGAUGACUAGAAAGCUUAGAGUGUAAAAAUCCAAAUAAAACACACACACACAGUCACGGGUGCAUUAGGGCAUGGCACAGUGAAUGGAAACAAAAUGCCGUCAAAUCUCCAGUUGUCGCAACUCUUCAAUACAGGAACUCUACAGGAAACUAGUGUUACCAGUAGCCUAUCAGUGAUCAGUGUUAAACUAAUCACUGAUAGGCUACUGGUUCCCUUGAGAACGUAUACAGAGAGCGCUACCGUAACUGCACGGCUUCGUCCGGUAGCAUCAUUAAAACGCUGCGGUUCAUAUAACCUAUCAAUAGACCCUUUUCACUGACGUCACACUUCCGGGUUGGUAAGUAGCUUAGUGCCAUUUUGAGUGGUGAGCUUUGUUGAGUCCGUGACUGGAGUUUAUCAUUUAGCCUAGUAUUUGUUGGCUAUGGCUGCCACUCAGCUGAAAAAGUAUAUCGACACACUUGAUAGCACUUCGAAAGACCGAUAUCAGAGGAAGUUGGAGUUAAUUGAUGGAAUCGAUCCUUAUGAAGUUACACAGAAGGACUGGACAAGCACCCACAGCGGCCUGCCCGAAGUGACCUACUGCGACAUCGUGAACUACCUUGUUUAGACACAGAGUGCAUACAGUAUGGAUCAGAUGAAGGCAUACAAAUGCCUUGAGGCUUACAACCAGUUCGUUUGUGGUUGGGUGAGCGAUGUUGUUCAUCUCAAGGCUGGUGACCUGGUUGUUAUCAGUGCUAAGGUAAGCCCCAGUUUCACCUACCACCCCACCUCCACCCACCGAGCAUUUUUCGGUCUAAAAGACGUCUAUACGACGUCUAGAUGUUCCUUAGACGUCUAGUCUAAAAUCGGUAAAUCAGAGGUCUAAAAGUGAAAGUUUUUUAGACGUCUAAAUUUUAGACGUUUAUCCAACGUUCAAGCUUAUACCGAAUAUAAACCCAGGUAUACACUUAGACGUUUAUUAGACGUCUAAACAAUGUGUAUUUAUAGACAUUCAGAUGUUGAAAUCCCGUACAGCAGACGUCUAAAUUUAGACGUCUAAAUUUUAGACGUUCAUCUGACGUUCAUGCUUAUACCAAAUAGAAACCCAGGUAUACACUAAGACGUUUAUUAGACGUCUAUUAGCGGUCUAGUCUAAAUAACUUUCAUUUUUAGACCUCUGGUAUACCUAUUUUAGACUACACGUCUAAUAGACGUCUAUUAGCCGUCUGUUACACCUAAAAAAAGUCAGUGGUUUCCUAUCAAUACUGUAAUAAACUGACAAUCAUUAAUGCAUAUUUUCCCCAAAUUCGAAUAAAUUAAUUAGAAUUUGGCAAUUUCUAAAAAAUAUUCACAAUAAAAAUGUAAAAAAAAAGUACUGUAGACAAAAAUCUCUCUCACAAAAAAAAGCCUAAAUGAGAAAUUACCUGCAAUUCUUACCUUGAUGUACUCUCAGGAUGUCCCGACUAUUUCGCCAAUGUGUCUCUUUCUGGACCUUCAUGACAUUUUUAAUCUAAUGUCAUGCUUUUUCAUAAUUUAACACUAAUCUACAUUUGUCAUCAGUAGACUGGAAUUGCAAUUACAGUACAUUCAUUCAGAAUACAACCAUUACAAUCAUGGACUUGGCAUAAUUUUUCUUUAAUGUUACACAAAUAGAACAUAAAUUUAAACCUUGAACUUGGAAAAAUUAAAACAAUUCAAAAUAAACUGAACAAAAUAUUACACAUUAUAACAGUGGAAAAAAUAUUUAAAUAUAUAUAUAUAAAUACUUUUAACAACCUUUUAACUGUUUUUAUGAAAUCUGCCUCUCAAUGCGAAAAGGAAAAUAAAAAAAUAGAUUUAAAACGUUUGUUUAAAAAAAAAAAAACACUUGUUUUUAAAGAACUUUGUGGGGCUUUUAGAAAAAAAUUCAGAAGGGGGAAGUUCUGUCUUUCCUGUA
Molecule: long non-coding RNA, 2199 nt
Organism: Acanthochromis polyacanthus (spiny chromis)
Lineage: Eukaryota; Metazoa; Chordata; Actinopteri; Pomacentridae
Exons: 3
Source: RefSeq, a predicted model, not a curated record